This 287-nucleotide unclassified non-coding RNA is filed under the name plant metagenome. Its description in RNAcentral is "partial contains small subunit ribosomal RNA, internal transcribed spacer 1, and 5.8S ribosomal RNA". The stretch from base 239 to 287 matches the Rfam family "5.8S ribosomal RNA", at positions 1 to 49 of the family's 154-position model. The record is from RNAcentral.
UUUCCGUAGGUGAACCUGCGGAAGGAUCAUUAUCGUACAGAAUGUGAGGGGCAUGCGAGGGCUGUCGCUGACCUAAAAGUCGUGCACGCCCGAGUGUGUCCUCUUGCAUAAUAAUCCAUCUCACCCUUUGUGCAUCACCGCGUGGGCACCCUUCGGGAUCAUCUCGGAGGGGGGCUCGCGUUUUCACACAAACCCCCCUUUUAAAAGUGUAGAAUGACCACAUUUAUGCAAUCAAUACAACUUUCAACAACGGAUCUCUUGGCUCUCGCAUCGAUAAAGAACGCAGC